This 331-nucleotide ribosomal RNA is filed under the name uncultured bacterium. RNAcentral describes it as "bacterial SSU rRNA". It matches the Rfam family "Bacterial small subunit ribosomal RNA", at positions 568 to 898 of the family's 1533-position model. The record is from RNAcentral.
CGCGUAGGUGGUUGCGUCAGUCGGAUGUGAAAUCCCCAGGCUUAACCUGGGAACUGCAUCCGAUACUGCGUGACUCGAGUGCAGCAGAGGGAAACGGAAUUCCUGGUGUAGAGGUGAAAUUCGUAGAUAUCAGGAGGAACACCGGUGGCGAAGGCGGUUUCCUGGGCUGACACUGACACUGAGGCGCGAAAGCGUGGGUAGCAAACAGGAUUAGAUACCCUGGUAGUCCACGCUGUAAACGGUGAGUGCUGGGUGUGGGAGGUGUAAUGCCUUCUGUGCCGAAGCUAACGCGUUAAGCACUCCGCCUGGGGAGUACGGCCGCAAGGUUGAA